RNAcentral lists this ribosomal RNA (494 nucleotides) under uncultured bacterium. RNAcentral's name for it is "bacterial SSU rRNA". It matches the Rfam family "Bacterial small subunit ribosomal RNA", at positions 903 to 1397 of the family's 1533-position model. The record is from RNAcentral.
AAAUGAAUUGACGGGACCCCGCACAAGUAGCGGAGCAUGUGGUUUAAUUCGAAGCAACGCGAAGAACCUUACCAAGUCUUGACAUCCUCUGACGUCAUUAGAGAUAGUGAUUUCCUUUCGGGGACAGAGAGACAGGUGGUGCAUGGUUGUCGUCAGCUCGUGUCGUGAGAUGUUGGGUUAAGUCCCGCAACGAGCGCAACCCUUGUGUUUAGUUGCCAGCAUGAAAGAUGGGCACUCUAAACAGACUGCCGUAGAUAAUACGGAGGAAGGUGGGGAUGACGUCAAAUCAUCAUGCCCCUUAUGACCUGGGCUACACACGUGCUACAAUGGGAUGUACAGAGGGUAGCGAAGUAGUGAUACGAAGCCAAUCUCAAAAAACAUCUCUCAGUUCGGAUUGCAGGCUGCAACUCGCCUGCAUGAAGUCGGAGUUACUAGUAAUCGUAAAUCAGAAUGUUACGGUGAAUGCGUUCCCGGGGUUUGUACACACCGCCCGU